This 694-nucleotide ribosomal RNA is filed under the name uncultured Pezizales. RNAcentral describes it as "partial 28S ribosomal RNA". It matches the Rfam family "Eukaryotic large subunit ribosomal RNA", at positions 1 to 665 of the family's 3401-position model. Lineage: Eukaryota; Fungi; Ascomycota; Pezizomycetes; Pezizales. The record is from RNAcentral.
ACUUGGACUGACUUUUAUGGAUCUCCAUUAAAAACAAAUUCUGGGUUGACCUCGGAUCAGGUAGGGNNNNNNNNNNNNNNNNNNNNNNNNNNNNNNNNNNGGAAAAGAAACCAACAGGGAUUGCCCUAGUAACGGCGAGUGAAGCGGCAAAAGCUCAAAUUUGAAAUCUGGUACUUAUGGUAUCCGAAUUGUAAUUUGGAGAGGCAUCUUCCGAAGGGGUCCAGUCUAUGUUCCUUGGAACAGGACAUCAUAGAGGGUGAGAAUCCCGUUCAUGGCUGGAUAUAUUCUUCAGUAGGUAGUGUCUUCUACGAGUCGAGUUGUUUGGGAAUGCAGCUCAAAAUGGGUGGUAAAUUUCAUCUAAAGCUAAAUAUUGGCGAGAGACCGAUAGCGCACAAGUAGAGUGAUCGAAAGAUGAAAAGCACUUUGAAAAUAGAGUCAAACAGUACGUGAAAUUGUUGAAAGGGAAGCGCUUGAGACCAGACUCAGUCUCGAACAAACAGCUAUCCUUCUGGAUGGUGCACUUGUUCUUGGCUGGGCCAGCAUCAGUUAGGGUGGUGGAAUAAAGGCUUGGGGAAUGUGACUCUACUUAGGAGUGUUAUAGCCUCAGGUGUCAUCUCACCUGCUCUGACUGUGGACCGCGCUUUGGCUAGGAUGCUGGCGUAAUGGUCUUUAGCGGCCCGUCUUGAAACACGGA